Molecule: long non-coding RNA, 2444 nt
Organism: Gavialis gangeticus (Gharial)
Lineage: Eukaryota; Metazoa; Chordata; Crocodylia; Gavialidae
Exons: 2
Source: RefSeq, a predicted model, not a curated record
UCCUGCUACCCUUAAGUAGCAUGUGGUUUAUGGCCCUUCCCCCCAAGCGAGGUGCAUGGUGUGGUGCCUGCACGUAUGGAAAUACUGGCAGCGCUGGGUAUUAAUGUGUAUUUUUAACUUCCUGGAAACUCAUAAAACUAUUUCCUUCAAAAGCAUCGGCUCCUGUUCCUGUCCAGAGCUCAAAAGCCCAGAGGUGCCUGCUUAAAUCUGAAUGAGGAUGAUGUGACAUUGGGAACAUGAAGGGCUUGUUUUCUGAGCUACUUGGCCUCAGCUCUGUAAACAGAUGCCUUGUUUGGAGCAGGUUCAGCUGUGAUGGUUUGUGUCUUGGCACAGCUGAUUCAUUUCAUUGGCAUCUGCAGACAUUGCCCAGGGCUCUUGUCCCAUAGGUUUGGGACCCUGCUGCUCCUUGGGCUUCACUCUUGGUUCCUGAUCCUUUUCCACCUGCUAGUUGCCAAAGUGUUAACCUAGUCCAAAUAGCAAAAAGGCAGUGAGGAGGAGGAGAACCCACCCAUCUUUUGUAUAACCAGGUUUUUAGGGACUCAAGGAGGCUGGAAUAGGAUCUGACCCUUUGUUCAGCUUCUGUCACAAAGGGCAUAGGCAGACACAUGCCCACCUGUGUGGAUGCUGGCUAAUUGAUCACCACACAGGUUAAGAAAACGCAGUGAUCCUACUAAGCAUGGCAUUAAGGUCAGUAUGCGAUCUACACCUAUCUCUUUCCUUUGGUUUGAGCUCUGCGUUCCUCCUGUUUUACCAUCGUCCUUCAGACUCGCUGUUAAUCCAGUCACUCAAAAAUGCAGUCUGGAUUCUGGCAGGAAAAAGCUGGCGAGCUCUGGGCGCGCAGGGCCCUUCACUUGGCAUUACAUAAGGGCCCUUGGCAUUUCCCACCUGUUACUUUCACUGAUGUGGUUAAUAGGGGGAAAGAAAGUGUUGCCAAAUCCCUUUUAACAGAUGGCUGGAGCUUGCACUCGGCUGUGAGGCGGCCUUUCUCUGUAUGCAACCAGGAAAUAUAGAUUGGAAAAUAUUAGCAUGUACGACUGAGGUAUGCGAGGUGAAAGCAAACAGCCAGUGGGCACAAAGCAAAAACCUCUCCAAGUUCUUCACUCGGUCGGUCCGUGAGCUGAUCAAAUUAAGCCAUAACUGUGUAAAGGGAACGUGAGUUUGUUUGCUGUGUUGGCCUGGUCAUGCAUUCAGGACGCUCAGAGCGGUGUAACUAUAGCUCAGGAGGUAUUAGUCACGCUGAGAGGAACUUGGUGAAAAUAAGCAGGCUUCAUCUGGGCAGUUGCCAGGGCAACACUUGCUAAUAUUUCACUACAAAGCUUCCCUCCCUCCUAGUUGCAGAGGUCGGGAACAGGAGUCCCAGCAAUAGGCAAGAGGAGCCGAUUGUCAUCAAGCACUUGUCCCCGAAGCAAUAACAAGCUCCGAUCAGCCGAGAGAAACCUCUGAGAAGGAGCUCAUUGCAACAAGGCUUGAAGCAUAAACGCUGCCCGUCUUGCGAGAGGGCUGCGGUGCAUGGAGGAGGAACAGGCUUGCUUUGCCUUUGUUUUGCUGCCACACCUGUGGGUGUUUCAGCAUGGCCGUAUCUAGGCUGGUUUCAGCCCCAUGUCUUCAAGGGGCUCUGUGCUUACUGCUAAAAAUGGCCACAAAGAGGAACGCUUCAAGCAUCCCUUUGCUCUGCACCAGAGGUCACUGGGUUCCUGCAGUGCAUCCUAUGUCAGGGGUUCCUUAUAUGUCCAGACAACUCAAACAGAGGUACUGUACAGAGAGAGGACAGACGAGGGAAAGCAGCAUGGGCAGCAACCUUGACACUGCUUGAAUGGCCCCCUUCAGCACCUGCAAAAUACUGACUUCAGCUGAAAAAAAAAACCCAAACACAGUCCCCGUAUAUCAAGCAGAGUUUGCAUCUACCAGAUGAAGAAUAGAACAAGGAACUUGGCUAUUGCAUUUAUAUGUGGAAGAAAGGCCCCUGGAUCUGAUGAUGAUGAUGAUGGGCUGCAGUAUAAAUCCAUAAGGCAGAUAGAUAAGAGUAGAUCACUGGAUGUUGAGUUAAAUCCUCUCAGGAUACUCUCUGAAGUCAACCCAACCCGUUCUUUCUACUGCCUGGGGAGAACUUUCAGGCCACAGGCCUGAGGUAGUCACUGGAGAAGUUCAGGCCAAGUCUCUGCCAUUCAUCCUGUACUUCCCAUGCAUUGGGCAUAAAGUUGCUUCCCACAUUCCAGACCUGCUCUGUAAGGGAUGAAUGGAGAAACCCUUCAUUUUUAACAUUUUUUAAACAUUGCAUUGAACCUCUGGAACAGCUGGCACCCUUCAGAAGCCCCACGGUUCUAAUUACUUCUGGGAAAACGCAUGCAAGCCAACAGAGAAGCUGCUGGGGAGCCAAAAACACUGCGGCUUUAUGUUUGGAACAUGGUCGUGGUCCCAUUGCCAUUUGGCUCAAUGUAUAUAUU